Molecule: ribosomal RNA, 253 nt
Filed under: uncultured bacterium
Lineage: Bacteria
Description: partial 16S ribosomal RNA
Rfam family: Bacterial small subunit ribosomal RNA
Source: RNAcentral
UACGGGGGGAGCAAGCGUUGUUCGGAUUUACUGGGCGUAAAGGGCGCGUAGGCGGCGCGGUAAGUCGGGUGUGAAAUCUCGGAGCUUAACUCCGAAACUGCAUUCGAUACUGCCGUGCUUGAGGACUGGAGAGGAGACUGGAAUUUACGGUGUAGCGGUGAAAUGCGUAGAUAUCGUAAGGAAGACCAGUGGCGAAGGCGGGUCUCUGGACAGUUCCUGACGCUGAGGCACGAAGGCCAGGGGAGCAAACGGG